This 368-nucleotide ribosomal RNA is filed under the name uncultured organism. Its description in RNAcentral is "bacterial SSU rRNA". It matches the Rfam family "Bacterial small subunit ribosomal RNA", at positions 526 to 896 of the family's 1533-position model. The record is from RNAcentral.
CGAAGGUCCCGAGCGUUAUCCGGAUUUAUUGGGUUUAAAGGGUGCGUAGGCGGGCUAUUAAGUCAGUGGUGAAAGCCCCAAGCUUAACUUGGGAACUGCCAUUGAUACUGAUGGUCUUGAGUACAUUUGAGGUGGGCGGAAUGUGUCAUGUAGCGGUGAAAUGCUUAGAUAUGACACAGAACACCGAUUGCGAAGGCAGCGCACUAAACUGUAACUGACGCUGAGGCACGAAAGCGUGGGGAGCAAACAGGAUUAGAUACCCUGGUAGUCCACGCCCUAAACGAUGAUCACUCGAUGUGUGCGAUAUACUGUACGCGUCUGAGCGAAAGCAUUAAGUGAUCCACCUGGGGAGUACGACCGCAAGGUUG